CUGGCGGCGUGCUUAAUACAUGCAAGUCGAGCGGACAGAUGGGAGCUUGCUCCCUGAUGUUAGCGGCGGACGGGUGAGUAACACGUGGGUAACCUGCCUGUAAGACUGGGAUAACUCCGGGAAACCGGGGCUAAUACCGGAUGCUUGUUUGAACCGCAUGGUUCAAACAUAAAAGGUGGCUUCGGCUACCACUUACAGAUGGACCCGCGGCGCAUUAGCUAGUUGGUGAGGUAAYGGCUCACCAAGGCAACGAUGCGUAGCCGACCUGAGAGGGUGAUCGGCCACACUGGGACUGAGACACGGCCCAGACUCCUACGGGAGGCAGCAGUAGGGAAUCUUCCGCAAUGGACGAAAGUCUGACGGAGCAACGCCGCGUGAGUGAUGAAGGUUUUCGGAUCGUAAAGCUCUGUUGUUAGGGAAGAACAAGUACCGUUCGAAUAGGGCGGUACCUUGACGGUACCUAACCAGAAAGCCACGGCUAACUACGUGCCAGCAGCCGCGGUAAUACGUAGGUGGCAAGCGUUGUCCGGAAUUAUUGGGCGUAAAGGGCUCGCAGGCGGUUCCUUAAGUCUGAUGUGAAAGCCCCCGGCUCAACCGGGGAGGGUCAUUGGAAACUGGGGAACUUGAGUGCAGAAGAGGAGAGUGGAAUUCCACGUGUAGCGGUGAAAUGCGUAGAGAUGUGGAGGAACACCAGUGGCGAAGGCGACUCUCUGGUCUGUAACUGACGCUGAGGAGCGAAAGCGUGGGGAGCGAACAGGAUUAGAUACCCUGGUAGUCCACGCCGUAAACGAUGAGUGCUAAGUGUUAGGGGGUUUCCGCCCCUUAGUGCUGCAGCUAACGCAUUAAGCACUCCGCCUGGGGGAGUACGGUCGCAAGACUGAAACUCAAAUGGAAUUGACGGGGGCCCGCACAAGCGG
This 917-nucleotide ribosomal RNA is filed under the name Bacillus halotolerans. Its description in RNAcentral is "bacterial SSU rRNA". The record is from RNAcentral. Lineage: Bacteria; Bacillati; Bacillota; Bacilli; Caryophanales; Bacillaceae.